ACACGACCGUACCGCAAACCGACACUGGUGCGCGAGAUGAGUAUUCUAAGGCGCUUGAGAGAACUCAGGAGAAGGAACUCGGCAAAUUGACACCGUAACUUCGGAAGAAGGUGUGCCUUUAGUAGGUGAACCAUUUACUUGGGGAGCCCAAUGAGGCUGCAAAAAAUCGGUGGCUGCAACUGUUUAUUAAAAACACAGCACUCUGCUAAGACGAAAGUCGACGUAUAGGGUGUGACGCCUGCCCGGUGCUGGAAGAUUAAAUGAUGGGGUGCAAGCUCUUGAUUGAAGUCCCAGUAAACGGCGGCCGUAACAAUAACGGUCCUAAGGUAGCGAAAUUCCUUGUCGGGUAAGUUCCGACCUGCACGAAUGGCGUAAUGAUGGCCACACUGUCUCCUCCUGAGACUCAGCGAAGUUGAAAUGUUUGUGAUGAUGCAAUCUCCCCGCGGAAAGACGGAAAGACCCCAUGAACCUUUACUGUAGCUUUGUAUUGGACUUUGAACAGAUCUGUGUAGGAUAGGUGGGAGGCUUUGAAGUGUGGUCGCUAGAUCGCAUGGAGCCAACGUUGAAAUACCACCCUGGUGUGUUUGAGGUUCUAACCUAGGUCCAUUAUCUGGAUCGGGGACAGUGCAUGGUAGGCAGUUUGACUGGGGCGGUCUCCUCCCAAAGUGUAACGGAGGAGUUCGAAGGUACGCUAGGUACGGUCGGACAUCGUGCUAAUAGUGCAAUGGCAUAAGCGUGCUUAACUGCGAGACUGACAAGUCGAGCAGAUGCGAAAGCAGGACAUAGUGAUCCGGUGGUUCUGUAUGGAAGGGCCAUCGCUCAACGGAUAAAAGGUACUCUGGGGGUAACAGGCUGAUACCGCCCAAGAGUUCAUAUCGACGGCGGUGUUUGGCACCUCGAUGUCGGCUUGUCACAUCCUGGGGCUGGAGAAGGUCCCAAGGGUCCGGCUGUUCGCCGGUUAAAGUGGCACAUGAGCUGGGUUCAGAACGUCGUGAGACAGUUCGGUCUGUAUCCGUCGUGGGCGUUGGAGGGUUGAGGGGUGCGAACUCUAGUACGAGAGGACCGAGAUGGACGAUCCGCUCGUGUCCCGGCUGUGGCGCCAGCUGCAACGCCGGGUAGCGAUGAUCGGUGGCGAUAACCGCUGAAAGCAUCUAAGUGGGAAGCGUCCCCCAAGAUGAACCCUCCCUGGGAACUUGAUUCCCCUAAAGGGCCGGAGGAGACUACUCCGUCGAUAGGCAACAAGUGGAAGUAGCGCAAGCUAUUACGAGCUCAGUUGUCCUAAUCGCCCGUGCGGCUUGACUCC
Molecule: ribosomal RNA, 1303 nt
Filed under: metagenome
Description: bacterial LSU rRNA
Rfam family: Bacterial large subunit ribosomal RNA
Source: RNAcentral